This 491-nucleotide ribosomal RNA is filed under the name uncultured bacterium. Its description in RNAcentral is "partial 16S ribosomal RNA". It matches the Rfam family "Bacterial small subunit ribosomal RNA", at positions 29 to 507 of the family's 1533-position model. The record is from RNAcentral.
GUGAACGCUGGCGGUAGGCCUAACACCUGCAAGUCGAACGGCAGCACAGUAAGAGCUUGCUCUUACGGGUGGCGAGUGGCGGACGGGUGAGGAAUACAUCGGAAUCUACUUUUUCGUGGGGGAUAACGUAGGGAAACUUACGCUAAUACCGCAUACGACCUACGGGUGAAAGCAGGGGAUCUUCGGACCUUGCGCGAUUGAAUGAGCCGAUGUCGGAUUAGCUAGUUGGCGGGGUAAAGGCCCACCAAGGCGACGAUCCGUAGCUGGUCUGAGAGGAUGAUCAGCCACACUGGAACUGAGACACGGUCCAGACUCCUACGGGAGGCAGCAGUGGGGAAUAUUGGACAAUGGGCGCAAGCCUGAUCCAGCCAUACCGCGUGGGUGAAGAAGGCCUUCGGGUUGUAAAGCCCUUUUGUCGGGAAAGAAAAGCAGCAGGUUAAUACCCCGCUGUUCUGACGGUACCCAAAGAAUAAGCACCGGCUAACUUCGUG